UCAAAAGCUGUCAAAUAAAAUGGUGAAUUGAUUUUAUAUUAACCAGAAAAGAUAUAAACGUAAUCUUUGGGAUUCAACUUGUAAGGAUGUUCGAAGAACCACUUAGUUGGACAAGGAAAACUGUGCCGUUCGUUAACAAGUCCACUGCUUUAUAAUAUAUGAAAAGAUGGUGAGGGCGUGAAGAAAACAGGUUUUUAAAUGAUGUUGUACAUUAUGCAGAUAGCUCAAAAAAAGAAGUAAGUUUUUUAUUGCAAAAGUAAAUAUAUAAUAUAAUAUUUGUUGCUGCCUUGUUCUAUAUGAAUAUUUCUAACAUGCAGGUAACAUUUAUAUAUGUAUUAGUUUGGAUAAAUCAUUUUAAUUAAGUUACAUAGGCAGGAAUGUUUGACUGGAAAUAUAAACGAUGUUGUACAUAAUGCAAAUAGCUUAGGCGAAAAAGAGAUUGGUGAAAUGGAGAAUGAGACUAACUACGGUCAAAAAAAUAAUGAAUAUCAAAAUGUGAAUGGUACUUUGUUUAACAUCUACCUGUUUCUAUAGAUACAGUACAGACGCAUUUAUAAAUGGGCUUGAUGUUUUCAUCAUUAAAAUUUGAUGUUAUUAUAAAAGUUAUAUAUACUAUUUUUAUCAAAUAGUUAAUAUAAAA
Hydra vulgaris (swiftwater hydra) is the source of this 640-nucleotide long non-coding RNA. RefSeq lists it as uncharacterized. NCBI's taxonomy places the organism in Eukaryota, Metazoa, Cnidaria, Hydrozoa, Anthoathecata, Hydridae. The record is from RefSeq and is a predicted model, not a curated record.